RNAcentral lists this ribosomal RNA (253 nucleotides) under uncultured prokaryote. RNAcentral describes it as "partial 16S ribosomal RNA". It matches the Rfam family "Bacterial small subunit ribosomal RNA", at positions 524 to 776 of the family's 1533-position model. The record is from RNAcentral.
UACGUAGGGUGCGAGCGUUGUCCGGAUUUAUUGGGCGUAAAGAGCUCGUAGGCGGUUUGUCGCGUCGUUCGUGAAAACUCCACGCUUAACGUGGAGCGUGCGGGCGAUACGGGCAGACUUGAGUUCGGUAGGGGAGACUGGAAUUCCUGGUGUAGCGGUGAAAUGCGUAGAUAUCGGGAGGAACACCUGUGGCGAAAGCGGCGCACUGGACCAUAACUGACGCUGAGGCGCGAAAGCUAGGGGAGCAAACAGG